RNAcentral lists this ribosomal RNA (497 nucleotides) under uncultured bacterium. RNAcentral describes it as "partial 16S ribosomal RNA". It matches the Rfam family "Bacterial small subunit ribosomal RNA", at positions 28 to 507 of the family's 1533-position model. The record is from RNAcentral.
GAUGAACGCUGGCGGCGUGCCUAAUACAUGCAAGUCGAGCGGACGGACGAGAAGCUUGCUGCUCUGAUGUUAGCGGCGGACGGGUGAGUAACACGUGGAUAACCUACCUAUAAGACUGGGAUAACUUCGGGAAACCGGAGCUAAUACCGGAUGAUAUUUUGAACCGCAUGGUUCAAAAGUGAAAGACGGUCUUGCUGGCACUUAUAGAUGGAUCUGCGCUGCAUUAGCUAGUUGGUAAGGUAACGGCUUACCAAGGCAACGAUGCAUAGCCGACCUGUCAGGCUGAUCGGCCACACUGGAGCUGAGACGCGGUCCAGGGUCCUACGGGAGGCAGCAGUAGGGUAUCUUCCGCAAUGGGCGAAAGCCUGACGGAGCGACGCCGCGUGAGUGAUGAAGGUCUUCGGAUCGUAAAGCUCUGUUAUUAGGGAAGAACAGAUUUGUAAGUAACUGUGCACAGCUUGACGGUACCUAAUCAGAAAGCCACGGCUAACUACGUG